UUGUGACUUUUUUCUGUAUGAGCUCUCAAGUGCGAGCACGCAAUUUCAUCAUUACCUUAGAGUAAUUUUUGUAUAAAAGGUUAUGGCAGGCAGUUAAAUCUAAAGUUGCCUUCUUUGCUAUAAAGAUGAAUUUCAAUAUGGCUAUGUUGAGAAAACUGAUUGUUGCCGUUUUUCUUUGCUUAGUAGCAUUUAUGUCCACUGCUGAGGCAAUUCCUCAAGGUGCUGGUGCAGGAGGAGAAGCAGGUGCACAAGCAGGCUUUGGAUUUGGUUUUGGUGGAGGAGCUGGAGCUGGUGGAAAUGGAGGUGGAUUUGGAGGUCGAAAAUAAAUAACAUAAUGCACAUUAAGCUGCAUCAUAAUUUUAUUUCUAUUAAUGCGAAAGAUUCUCUGUAGCAAUUUUACGACAUUGAGUUCCGUAAAAGUUUUCUUCCUAAGAAGAAAUAAAAGUCUUCUCCCUAAGUGCAUUUAUCUGUUUUACUCUUUCACGAAAGUUUUUAUAUUAAUAAAAUCGUAACUAUAUGAAA
Molecule: long non-coding RNA, 522 nt
Organism: Stegodyphus dumicola
Lineage: Eukaryota; Metazoa; Arthropoda; Arachnida; Araneae; Eresidae
Source: RefSeq, a predicted model, not a curated record